RNAcentral lists this ribosomal RNA (487 nucleotides) under uncultured Symbiodinium. RNAcentral describes it as "partial Bacterial small subunit ribosomal RNA". It matches the Rfam family "Bacterial small subunit ribosomal RNA", at positions 48 to 523 of the family's 1533-position model. Lineage: Eukaryota; Dinophyceae; Suessiales; Symbiodiniaceae. The record is from RNAcentral.
UUAACACAUGCAAGUCGAAGGAGAAGGUAAGUGCUUGCACUUACUGGAGACUGGCGGACGGGUGAGUAACGCGUAGAUAACCUGCCUAUAUCUGGGGGAUAACAUCUCGAAAGGGGUGCUAAUACCGCAUAAUGCAGCGGGGCCGCAUGGCCACAGUUGUUAAAGGUUUCGGCCGGAUAUAGAGGGGUCUGCGUACUAUUAGUUAGUUGGUAAGGUAACGGCUUACCAAGGCGACGAUCUCUAGCUGUUCUGAGAGGAAGAUCAGCCACACUGGGACUGAGACACGGCCCAGACUUUAAUAAGGCAGCAGUGAGGAAUAUUGGACAAUGGGAGAAAUCCUGAUCCAGCAAUACUGAAAGGGUGAGCGCAGGAAUUUUAUUUUCUGGAAGGCUGUAAAAAAGAGGUUGUAAAACUCUUUCGUCGAGGAGGAAAAUGACAGUACUCGAAAAAGAAGUCCCGGCUAACUUCGUGCCAGCAGCCGCGGUAA